AUAUAACUUCGCCAGCAUAUAUACUAAAAUUGGAAAGAUACACAGAAGAUUAGUAUGGCCUUUUAGCAAGGAUGACAUGGAACUUUGUGAAGGUUCUUGGUCUGGAACAUAUAUUC
Non-coding RNA from Lepisosteus oculatus (spotted gar), 116 nucleotides. The record is from Rfam. NCBI's taxonomy places the organism in Eukaryota, Metazoa, Chordata, Actinopteri, Semionotiformes, Lepisosteidae.